UAGCAUAUCAAUAAGCGGAGGAAAAGAAACCAACAGGGAUUGCCCUAGUAACGGCGAGUGAAGCGGCAACAGCUCAAAUUUGAAAUCUGGCUACUUUGUAGUCCGAGUUGUAAUUUGUAGAGGAUGCUUUUGGUGAGGUGCCUUCCGAGUUCCCUGGAACGGGACGCCAUAGAGGGUGAGAGCCCCGUACGGUUGGAUGCCAAACCUUUGUAUAGCUCCUUCAACGAGUCGAGUAGUUUGGGAAUGCUGCUCUAAAUGGGAGGUAUAUCUCUUCUAAAGCUAAAUACCGGCUAGAGACCGAUAGCGCACAAGUAGAGUGAUCGAAAGAUGAAAAGCACUUUGAAAAGAGAGUUAAACAGCACGUGAAAUUGUUGAAAGGGAAGCGCCUAUGACCAGACUUGUCUCUAUCAGUUUUGCUAGUUUUCGGACUGGUUUACUCUGUUAGUACAGGCCAGCAUCAGUUUGUUGUUAGGGAGAAAGGCUUAGGGAAUGUGGCUCCCUCGGGAGUGUUAUAGCCCUUUGCAUAAUACCUUUCGGCAGACUGAGGACCGCGCUUCGGCAAGGAUGCUGGCGUAAUGGUCAUCAGCGACCCGUCUUGAAACACGGACCAAGGAGUCAACCUUAUGUGCGAGUGUUUGGGUGUAAAACCCCAGCGCGUAAUGAACGUGAACGUAGGUGAGAGCUUCGGCGCAUCAUCGACCGAUUCUGAUGUUCUCGGAUGGAUUUGAGUAAGAGCACACAGGGUUGGACCCGAAAGAAGGUGAACUAUGCUUGUAUAGGGUGAAGCCAGAGGAAACUCUGGUGGAGGCUCGCAGCGGUUCUGACGUGCAAAUCGAUCGUCAAAUAUGAGCAUGGGGGCGAAAGACUAAUCGAACCUUCUAGUAUCUGGUUCCAGCAGUC
RNAcentral lists this ribosomal RNA (900 nucleotides) under Thielaviopsis radicicola. RNAcentral describes it as "LSU rRNA". It matches the Rfam family "Eukaryotic large subunit ribosomal RNA", at positions 36 to 965 of the family's 3401-position model. Lineage: Eukaryota; Fungi; Ascomycota; Sordariomycetes; Microascales; Ceratocystidaceae. The record is from RNAcentral.